UCUCUUAAAAUCUCAUCUUUUCUUUCAGAACAAAGAAAGUCCCAAGGAAAACCACCUUCUCUCUUGGAAUUUUCUGCUUGCCGUUUUAUUUUCUUUCUGGAGCUGAAACUACUGCUGAUCUAUCUUAUAUCUAUUGCGCUCUCUCGGCUUCACUUGAUCUCGAUCCCAAAGCAAGACUGCAUGAUCCGACCAAAAACCACGAUGGAGAGGUUGUCUUACCCUUAAAUUUUUUCCGUCUUUUCUCUAUUUUCAUUGAUAUUAUGUGUAUUAUUUAUAUU
Molecule: long non-coding RNA, 278 nt
Filed under: Elaeis guineensis (African oil palm)
Lineage: Eukaryota; Viridiplantae; Streptophyta; Magnoliopsida; Arecales; Arecaceae
Description: long non-coding RNA (EGUI_LNC020683)
Source: RNAcentral